GGGAAGAGAGCAUGAGUAUGCGGUUGACUUGAAAUCAGCAGAUGGUGGUGAGUGCCACCUUUUCUCG
Molecule: transfer RNA, 67 nt
Filed under: Psammophis lineolatus
Lineage: Eukaryota; Metazoa; Chordata; Lepidosauria; Squamata
Description: tRNA-Ser
Source: RNAcentral